RNAcentral lists this ribosomal RNA (442 nucleotides) under uncultured bacterium. RNAcentral describes it as "partial 16S ribosomal RNA". It matches the Rfam family "Bacterial small subunit ribosomal RNA", at positions 338 to 795 of the family's 1533-position model. The record is from RNAcentral.
CCUACGGGUGGCAGCAGUGGGGAAUAUUGCACAAUGGGGGAAACCCUGAUGCAGCAACGCCGCGUGAGUGAGGAAGUAUUUCGGUAUGUAAAGCUCUAUCAGCAGGGAAUAGAAAAGAAGGUACCUGAAAAAGAAGCCCCGGCUAACUACGUGCCAGCAGCCGCGGUAAUACGUAGGGGGCAAGCGUUAUCCGGAUUUACUGGGUGUAAAGGGAGCGUAGGUGGCAUAAUAAGUAGCUAGUGAAAUCUGGUGGCUCAACCAUUCAGACUAUUAGCUAAACUGUUAAGCUCGAGACCGUUAGGGGUAACUGGAAUUUCUAGUGUAGGAGUGAAAUCCGUAGAUAUUAGAAGGAACACCAAUAGCGUAGGCAGGUUGCUGGGACGGUUCUGACACUAAGGCACGAAAGCGUAGGGAGCAAACGGGAUUAGAUACCCCUGUAGUC